GCCUGGAUAGCUCAGUUGGAUAGAGCAUGGUCCUGAUAAUGCCAGGGUUGCAGGUUUGAUCCCUGCAUGGGGCG
Molecule: transfer RNA, 74 nt
Filed under: Podarcis lilfordi (Lilford's wall lizard)
Lineage: Eukaryota; Metazoa; Chordata; Lepidosauria; Squamata; Lacertidae
Rfam family: tRNA
About the family: Transfer RNA (tRNA) molecules are approximately 80 nucleotides in length. Their secondary structure includes four short double-helical elements and three loops (D, anti-codon, and T loops).
Source: Rfam by way of RNAcentral